This 46-nucleotide non-coding RNA is filed under the name Schistosoma margrebowiei. Lineage: Eukaryota; Metazoa; Platyhelminthes; Trematoda; Strigeidida; Schistosomatidae. The record is from RNAcentral.
GCAUUUCUGAAGAGUCCCAUACUAGGAUGAAACGGCCGUCUAGUGC